Molecule: ribosomal RNA, 488 nt
Filed under: uncultured bacterium
Lineage: Bacteria
Description: partial 16S ribosomal RNA
Rfam family: Bacterial small subunit ribosomal RNA
Source: RNAcentral
AUUGAACGCUGGCGGCAGGCCUAACACAUGCAAGUCGAACGGUAGCACAGAGAGCUUGCUCUCGGGUGACGAGUGGCGGACGGGUGAGUAAUGUCUGGGAAACUGCCCGAUGGAGGGGGAUAACUACUGGAAACGGUAGCUAAUACCGCAUAAUGUCGCAAGACCAAAGAGGGGGACCUUCGGGCCUCUUGCCAUCGGAUGUGCCCAGAUGGGAUUAGCUAGUUGGUGAGGUAAUGGCUCACCAAGGCGACGAUCCCUAGCUGGUCUGAGAGGAUGACCAGCCACACUGGAACUGAGACACGGUCCAGACUCCUACGGGAGGCAGCAGUGGGGAAUAUUGCACAAUGGGCGCAAGCCUGAUGCAGCCAUGCCGCGUGUGUGAAGAAGGCCUUCGGGUUGUAAAGCACUUUCAGCGGGGAGGAAGGCAAUACGGUUAAUAACCGUGUUGAUUGACGUUACCCGCAGAAGAAGCACCGGCUAACUCCGUG